RNAcentral lists this transfer RNA (67 nucleotides) under Pegasus laternarius. RNAcentral describes it as "tRNA-Ser". The record is from RNAcentral. Lineage: Eukaryota; Metazoa; Chordata; Actinopteri; Syngnathiformes; Pegasidae.
GAGAGAGAUUCGACAUAACAAAAACUGCUAAUUUUUGCCACCCUGGUUAAACCCCCGGGCUCACUCG